UAAUUUACUCUGUUAUGAGAUGCCAUACACC
Molecule: non-coding RNA, 31 nt
Filed under: Homo sapiens (human)
Lineage: Eukaryota; Metazoa; Chordata; Mammalia; Primates; Hominidae
Source: RNAcentral